Molecule: long non-coding RNA, 1226 nt
Organism: Sycon ciliatum
Lineage: Eukaryota; Metazoa; Porifera; Calcarea; Leucosolenida; Sycettidae
Exons: 4
Source: RefSeq, a predicted model, not a curated record
CACUGUACAGUGCAGUGUUACAUCAGUAGAGUCUACGCAGUUUUUUUUAUUAUCACCUCAGGAAUGAUGCUCACUAGUAUUAGCGCUGUGUGGUGCAGAAACAACGGUUUGUUGUUGCUGUGUUGUAUGUUCUGGAACAGGUUCUCUUCAACGUCACGAGUCUAUCAAAAGUUGUCGCCUUUUUACCUACUAGUAUGUACCAGCCUACAAGUACUUGCAAGCAGUAGUAGCGAUGGCUAUGUAGACCGAGUCAGCGGUCAGCGGUUUGUGUUCGCUAUUCAGGACUUGGCUGCGGAAAAAGAUUUGGUUGGAAGGAGCUACUGGUAACUAAAAUUUACAUGCAAGCGAAGCGUCAGCAUGUCGUGAACAAAGGUACGAUAGGCGCUAGACGGCUAUGUAAAGUCAGUUAUGUUACCUGUACUAUACCAACGAAGACGCUUGCAACGAGCUUGAAACGGCAACGUCGUUACACGUAGCAGGUCAACACAGUAUGUCUUUGGAAGACGGAGUUCAUCACAGUGAGUCAUUCAGCUUCUCUGCUGCCCAGCAGCCACCAAGCAAACUGGCACUAGCAGUGGCCUCUGACAUAACGUCGAAAGUUCGGUCUUCGGACCUGUCCAUCGUGUCACAUCGUUUGUGACUUCUGUGGCUAUCCGUACACCGACCGACCUGCAGUGCAGACUGGAUAUGAGUGCGUUUGCAUACCAUGCCUUCGUUAUUAUUAUUAUUUUUUUGUAAACUGUCACCAAUAUCGAGACGGACACAAAGCUGGCGAGCGACAGAAUAUGGACAAGUGCAAGACGUACUAUUCUCACGCUAUCCAUUAGCCGACUGCGGCGUGCAGACCCUCACCCGGAAUCAUUGCUGUUCGUUCAGGAGUCACUCAGUGGCACGGCAGAGAAAGCCACGAGCGAUGUGGAUGGCGUACCAAGUGAAGCAGACGACCCGCAGUGAACAGUGUAUGCUACCACCACGUGUGAGACAUGCAGCUACUGAGACAGGAGACCCCAACCUCCAGACAGCUUGUCAUGUUGGUGGGGCGCUCUCGCGACACGGGGUGCUCUGGCGGUACUUUACGGUGGAGAAGGAGGAAGGAGCAGUGCUUGCUCUUAAUUAAAAGAAGAAAUAAGCCGCCGAGAAAAUGCUCCCAUUUGUUUGUAUGCAGGUGGAGGAGGAAGAAUCAGUGCUUGCUCCCAGAAAGAAGCAAGCCCCCCCCCCCCCCCACC